This 407-nucleotide ribosomal RNA is filed under the name uncultured prokaryote. Its description in RNAcentral is "bacterial SSU rRNA". It matches the Rfam family "Bacterial small subunit ribosomal RNA", at positions 355 to 776 of the family's 1533-position model. RNAcentral also lists the same sequence under 1 other name. The record is from RNAcentral.
UUGGGAAUAUUGGACAAUGGAGGAAACUCUGAUCCAGUGACGCCGCGUGAAGGAAGAAGGUCUUCGGAUUGUAAACUUAUUUUGUCAGGGAAGAAUAAAAUGACAGUACCUGAAGAAAAAGGACCGGCAAACUACGUGCCAGCAGCCGCGGUAAUACGUAGGGUCCAAGCGUUAUCCGGAUUUACUGGGUGUAAAGGGCGAGUAGACGGCGUUACAAGUCAGAUGUGAAAACUUGGGGCUCAACCUCAAGACUGCAUCUGAAACUGUAAUGCUAGAGUGCAGGAGAGGAAAGUGGAAUUCCUAGUGUAGCGGUGAAAUGCGUAGAUAUUAGGAGGAACACCAGUGGCGAAGGCGACUUUCUGGACUGUAACUGACGUUGAGGCGCGAAAGUGUGGGGAGCAAACAGG